UCCGAUAUGGUGUAGUGGCCAACAUGAUGCCCUCUCAAUCACRGUGCUGAACUGUGAAAUGGAAAGGCAUAGCCCCGAGUUCGAUUCUCGGUUUCGGAA
This 99-nucleotide transfer RNA is filed under the name Colletotrichum higginsianum. Its description in RNAcentral is "tRNA CH063_16277". It matches the Rfam family "tRNA". From Rfam's summary of the family: Transfer RNA (tRNA) molecules are approximately 80 nucleotides in length. Lineage: Eukaryota; Fungi; Ascomycota; Sordariomycetes; Glomerellales; Glomerellaceae. The record is from RNAcentral.